AUUGAACGCUGGCGGCAUGCCUUACACAUGCAAGUCGAACGGUAACGCGGGGCAACCUGGCGACGAGUGGCGAACGGGUGAGUAAUAUAUCGGAACGUGCCCAAUAGUGGGGGAUAGCCCGGCGAAAGCCGGAUUAAUACCGCAUGAGACCUGAGGGUGAAAGCGGGGGAUCGCAAGACCUCGCGCUAUUGGAGCGGCCGAUAUCAGAUUAGGUAGUUGGUGGGGUAAAAGCCUACCAAGCCGACGAUCUGUAGCUGGUCUGAGAGGACGACCAGCCACACUGGGACUGAGACACGGCCCAGACUCCUACGGGAGGCAGCAGUGGGGAAUUUUGGACAAUGGGCGCAAGCCUGAUCCAGCCAUGCCGCGUGCGGGAAGAAGGCCU
This 385-nucleotide ribosomal RNA is filed under the name uncultured bacterium. RNAcentral's name for it is "bacterial SSU rRNA". It matches the Rfam family "Bacterial small subunit ribosomal RNA", at positions 29 to 417 of the family's 1533-position model. The record is from RNAcentral.